This 514-nucleotide ribosomal RNA is filed under the name Kurthia sp. RNAcentral describes it as "bacterial SSU rRNA". It matches the Rfam family "Bacterial small subunit ribosomal RNA", at positions 17 to 516 of the family's 1533-position model. Lineage: Bacteria; Bacillati; Bacillota; Bacilli; Caryophanales; Caryophanaceae. The record is from RNAcentral.
UCCUGGCUCAGGACGAACGCUGGCGGCGUGCCUAAUACAUGCAAGUCGAGCGAAUGACGAGAAGCUUGCUUCUCUGAUUUAGCGGCGGACGGGUGAGUAACACGUGGGCAACCUGCCCUACAGAUCGGGAUAACUCAGGGAAACCUGGGCUAAUACCGGAUAAUCCUUCGAAUCACAUGUUUUGAAGUUGAAAGGCGCUUCGGCGUCACUGUAGGAUGGGCCCGCGGUGCAUUAGCUAGUUGGUGGGGUAACGGCCUACCAAGGCAACGAUGCAUAGCCGACCUGAGAGGGUGAUCGGCCACAUUGGGACUGAGACACGGCCCAAACUCCUACGGGAGGCAGCAGUAGGGAAUCUUCCACAAUGGACGAAAGUCUGAUGGAGCAACGCCGCGUGAGUGAUGAAGGUUUUCGGAUCGUAAAACUCUGUUGUAAGGGAAGAACAAGUACGUUAGGAAAUGAACGUACCUUGACGGUACCUUAUUAGAAAGCCACGGCUAACUACGUGCCAGCAGCC